UCCGAACGGAGAGUUCGAUCCUGGCUCAGGAUGAACGCUGGCGGCGCGCCUAACACAUGCAAGUCGAACGGCCGGACCCACCUCGGUGGGCGA
Molecule: ribosomal RNA, 93 nt
Filed under: Olsenella sp. KH3B4
Lineage: Bacteria; Bacillati; Actinomycetota; Coriobacteriia; Coriobacteriales; Atopobiaceae
Description: 16S rRNA. Bacterial SSU
Rfam family: Bacterial small subunit ribosomal RNA
Source: RNAcentral